AUGGAAGCAUGCCAUGCUAAAGUUGACGAUCUCUUUGUUUAUCCUUCUUUUCAUCUUGCCCUAUGUGAUCAUGCUACGAGUGCAUCAAGAUGAUUUAGUUACGAUCGAGUGCUUGACCCCUUGAGUAGGGCAUAUUCUUCAUCAUCUUUGUUGUUGUAUUGUAUCCCAAUGACCACGUCAUCAAAGAGACGGUCUUUCUUUGGUUUAGUCCACCAAUUUACCGUCAUUGGCCUGGUUAUACUCGCCACAAGCCUUGCUUUGUACCUUCCAAUCUUUCCUUCUACAUUCUGCUUCACAGGUGUAUACCCACUUGCAGUUGAUUGCAUUCUUUCCUGUUUGGAGGUGUUACUGCCCAUGUCUUGCUCUUACACAGAGCCUCGAGCCUCCAGCUCCUCCACCAAGGCCAUAUGUCAUUUUAAGUCACCCGUUUGCCUUCAUAUAAGUCGGAAUUGA
Molecule: ribosomal RNA, 453 nt
Filed under: Triticum aestivum (bread wheat)
Lineage: Eukaryota; Viridiplantae; Streptophyta; Magnoliopsida; Poales; Poaceae
Description: partial small subunit ribosomal RNA
Source: RNAcentral